AAACUAUGAAAAUGAAAAUGAUAUUUUUGGGUCUUCUUUUCUUAUUUUUCAAUACCACUCGUUCUUAUGAUUAUUUUGUUAUGGUCUUUCGAUGGGCACCAACAUUUUGUCUAAAAGGGUACUAUAAAAGAGCUCUAACAAAUAGCUUUAAAAUUCGCGGACUUUGACCCCCAAACGAAAAUAGAAUACGGAAGUUUUUGGACUUCAAAUUGUUAGUAAUAUUCACUCCUACUUUUCUUAAAAUAUUUUUUUUUAUAAUAAC
This 262-nucleotide long non-coding RNA is filed under the name Lathyrus oleraceus (garden pea). RNAcentral describes it as "Pisum sativum (pea) long non-coding RNA (PSAT_LNC004411)". Lineage: Eukaryota; Viridiplantae; Streptophyta; Magnoliopsida; Fabales; Fabaceae. The record is from RNAcentral.